AGUGAACGCUGGCGGUAGGCCUAACACAUGCAAGUCGAACGGCAGCACAGUAAGAGCUUGCUCUUACGGGUGGCGAGUGGCGGACGGGUGAGGAAUACAUCGGAAUCUACUUUUUCGUGGGGGAUUACGUAGGGACACUUCCGAUAAUACCGCAUACGAUCUACGGGUGAAAGCAGGGGUUCUUCGGACCUUGCGCGAUUGAUUGAGCCGAUGUCGGAUUAGCUAGUUGGCGGGGUAAAGUCACACCAUGGCGACGAUCCGUAGCUGGUCUGAGAGGAUGAUCGGCCACACUGGAACUGAGACACGGUCCAGACUCCUACGGGAGGCAGCAGUGGGGAAUAUUCGACAAGGGGCGCAAGCCUGAUCCAGCCAUACCGGGGGGGUGAAGAAGGCCUUCGGGUUGUAAAGCCCGUUUGUUGGGAAAGAAAAGCAGCAGGUUAAUACCCCGCUGUUCUGACGGAACCCAAAGAAUAAACACCGGCAAACUUCGU
RNAcentral lists this ribosomal RNA (491 nucleotides) under uncultured bacterium. RNAcentral describes it as "partial 16S ribosomal RNA". It matches the Rfam family "Bacterial small subunit ribosomal RNA", at positions 29 to 506 of the family's 1533-position model. The record is from RNAcentral.